GAUGAACGCUGGCGGCGUGCCUAAUACAUGCCAGUCGAGCGAACAGACGAGGAGCUUGCUCCUCUGACGUUAGCGGCGGACGGGUGAGUAACACGUGGAUAACCUACCUAUAAGACUGGGAUAACUUCGGGAAACCGGAGCUAAUACCGGAUAAUAUAUUGAACCGCAUGGUUCAAUAGUGAAAGACGGUUUUGCUGUCACUUAUAGAUGGAUCCGCGCCGCAUUAGCCAGUUGGUAAGGUAACGGCUUACCAAGGCAACGAUGCGUAGCCGACCUGAGAGGGUGAUCGGCCACACUGGAACUGAGACACGGUCCAGACUCCUACGGGAGGCAGCAGUAGGGAAUCUUCCGCAAUGGGCGAAAGCCUGACGGAGCAACGCCGCGUGAGUGAUGAAGGUCUUCGGAUCGUAAAACUCUGUUAUUAGGGAAGAACAAAUGUGUAAGUAACUAUGCACGUCUUGAUGGUACCUAAUCAGAAAGCCACGGCUAACUACGUG
RNAcentral lists this ribosomal RNA (497 nucleotides) under uncultured bacterium. RNAcentral's name for it is "partial 16S ribosomal RNA". It matches the Rfam family "Bacterial small subunit ribosomal RNA", at positions 28 to 507 of the family's 1533-position model. The record is from RNAcentral.